RNAcentral lists this unclassified non-coding RNA (200 nucleotides) under Powellomyces sp. Its description in RNAcentral is "partial internal transcribed spacer 2". The record is from RNAcentral. Lineage: Eukaryota; Fungi; Chytridiomycota; Chytridiomycetes; Spizellomycetales; Powellomycetaceae.
UUAAGUUCAGCGGGUUUUCUUGCUCGAUUUCAGACCAAGUUAUCAGACAAUGAUCCAAGGAUCACUGAAAGUGUAUGUUGGUUGAGUGUAAGAUCCAGACCAUGGAAUCGCUUCUCUUCAAGAGGUAACGAAUGAGCUAACAUCUGUUGCACUUGAGAGAACCGAACCAAGAAGGCCGGUUGCAAACACAAUCAUUUUCA